GAUGAACGCUAGCGGCAGGCCUAAUACAUGCAAGUCGAACGGAUAUAUGUUUUUCGGAAUAUAUAUUAGUGGCGCACGGGUGAGUAACACGUACAUAACUUGCCCUCAAGCGGGGGAUAGCCUUGGGAAACUGAGAGUAAUACCCCAUAGAAUUAUUGGACGGCAUCGUUUGAUAAUUAAAACUACGGUGCUUGGGGAUAGAUGUGCGUCUGAUUAGCUAGUUGGUGAGGUAACUGCUCACCAAGGCGACGAUCAGUAGGGGGCGUGAGAGCGUGGCCCCCCACACGGGUACUGAGACACGGACCCGACUCCUACGGGAGGCAGCAGUAAGGAAUAUUGGUCAAUGGAGGGAACUCUGAACCAGCCAUGCCGCGUGAAGGAUGACGGCCCUCUGGGUUGUAAACUUCUUUUGGAUGGGGCGAAAAAACGGGAUUUAUCCUGGACUGACGGUACCAUCAGAAUAAGCACCGGCUGACUCCGUGCCAGCAGCCGCGGUAAAGUAGUCGUG
Molecule: ribosomal RNA, 508 nt
Filed under: uncultured bacterium
Lineage: Bacteria
Description: bacterial SSU rRNA
Rfam family: Bacterial small subunit ribosomal RNA
Source: RNAcentral